UCCGUAGGUGAACCUGCGGAGGGAUUAUUA
This 30-nucleotide ribosomal RNA is filed under the name Alternaria tenuissima. RNAcentral's name for it is "partial 18S ribosomal RNA". RNAcentral also lists the same sequence under 1 other name. Lineage: Eukaryota; Fungi; Ascomycota; Dothideomycetes; Pleosporales; Pleosporaceae. The record is from RNAcentral.